UUCGCAAUGCCCGAAAGGGUGACGAAGCGACGCCGCGUGUGGGAAGAAGGCCUUCGGGUUGUAAACCACUGUCGGGAGUUAGGAAAUGUAAGGGUGCUAAUAGUAUCCUUACUUGACUAAGGCUCCGGAGGAAGCCACGGCUAACUCUGUGCCAGCAGCCGCGGUAAUACAGAGGCGGCAAGCGUUGUUCGGAAUUAUUGGGCGUAAAGAGCACGUAGGCGGCCUUGUAAGUCAGUUGUGAAAGCCUUCUGCUUAACGGAAGAACAGCAGCUGAUACUGCAAGGCUAGAGUGCGGAAGGGGAGAGUGGAACUUCUGGUGGAGCGGUGAAAUGCGUAGAUAUCAGAAGGAGCACCGGCGGCGAAGGCGACUCUCUGGUCCGUAACUGACGCUGAGUGUGCGAAAGCUAGGGGAGCAAACGGGAUUAGAUACCCCGGUAGUCCUAGCCGUAAACGAUGGGCACUAAGUAGAGGGGUUUU
Molecule: ribosomal RNA, 477 nt
Filed under: uncultured Planctomycetales bacterium
Lineage: Bacteria; Pseudomonadati; Planctomycetota; Planctomycetia; Planctomycetales
Description: bacterial SSU rRNA
Rfam family: Bacterial small subunit ribosomal RNA
Source: RNAcentral